GGCGGCGGUGUUCUCGCGGAGGAUUCUUGAUUGAUCUGGGCCUCGCAUUUUGAUUCUGGAGGCCAUGGAAGGCAGAUCGCUGCUGCGGGAGCUCCAGGUAACCCUCGCGUCCUCGCGAAAUAUUGCGUCUGGAUUGCAAUUUUCUCAAGAUCGCGGUGAAUCGGCCGCGCGUAGAGCAUCUGGGACGAGAUUGGGGAGAGCGACGAGGAGAGGGAAACUGCACCAGCUGGAGCAAGAAUGCCUGAAUGUGUGCCGGCGGACGGUGGAUGAAGCGAAUUGGGCGAGGCUGCACCAGCUCUUGGCGGAUUCCGAGUCGGAGCUCGCGUCGCGCCUGCCGCUCCUGGAUGAUCGCCCUUGCAUGGCCAUGGAAGGCGAGGACACGAGCAUCUGGGACGAGAUGGGGGAGAGCGACGAGGAGAGGGACAGAAUGCUGCUCCAGCUGGAGCAAGAAUGCCUGGAUGUGUACCGGCGGAAGGUGGAUCAAGAGAAUUGCGCGAUGGCGCAGCUGCACCAGCUCUUGGACGGAGCUCACGUUGCUGCUGUCGCUCCUGAGUGAUCGCCCUUGCAUGUUAGAGAAGAGGUCGGGCACUACUCUGCGAGAGUAGCUCUUGUCCGUCUCGCCUCAGUUAGAAUUAUUGCGGCUGACGAAAGAGGAGCGCCUGAAGCAAUUUGAGGACGUGCCAGAUUCAAAGGCUCUCUCAGGAGAUGUCGUCGGGGACAUUGCAAGGGACUGAGAAUGGAGCCUUUUGCUGGAAAGAUUUGUCGCUGAGGAAGCUGCACGAGUACCGUUGCCAGCUUCAAGAGCUUCAGGAUGAAAAGAGUAGUCGGCUUCACAAAGUGUCGGAGCUUCUCGAGGUUCUGCACGGAUAUUGCGUCCUUUUGGGGGCAGACUACACGGAAGUCUUUAAGGAAGUGCAUUCGAGCCUUUGUGAUCCAGGCCAGCUUGAGAAAUUAGCAAAGGCGGUCGAGGACAUGAAGAACGAGAAAAGCAAAAGACUGCAAAAGAUUCACAAUCUUGUUGCUCUCUUAUGCGAGCUCUGGAAUCUAAUGGACACGUCAUUGGGAAAAAGGCAACCAUUUCGAAAUAUCAUCCGCAAUCUUCUGGCACCAGAACCUGAGCCUUCAUCUCUUACUUUGAAAACCAUCGCACAGGCUGAAAAGGAGGUGGAUAGAAUAAGUCGAUUGAUAAUAAACAAAAUGAAGGAGCUUGUGCUGAAGAAGCAGGCAGAGUUGGAAGAAACUUGCAACAUGGCUCACUUGGAGUGUUCCAAAUCUAACUCGAGAAAACGUGGCGAGUUUACUGGAGUCAGUGGACUUGUCAGAGCUACUUGGUACAAUUGAAAGUAGUAUUGCCGAGGCGAAGAAAGAAUCACUCGGCAGACAAGAUCUAAUGGAAAGAAUGGAACGGUGGAUUAGCGCGUGUGAAGAAGAAAAUUGGCUUGAAGGAUACAAUAAGGAUGAAGGCCGCUUCAAAGCAACCAGGGGAGCACAUUUGAAUCGAAAACGUGCAGAAAGAGCUCGUGUCAUCGUGGCCAAACUCCCCAAUCUUCUUGAAUCAUUGAAGUCCACAAUACAACGAACGGGGUUUCUCUACUCGCAAUACUAGAAGAAUAUAGCUUGCUCGGACGAGAGAAAGAAGAAAGAGGUGAACACAAGGAGGAGGAGAAGAAGGAUUGCAACAAGCACACGAGAAUUGAGGAUCUGCGGCCAAGGAGAAUCUUCUUGGCGGGCAACACGAUCAACCCAUUUCUAUGUGGAGUGGCCAGACUGGUGACCAAGAUCACCUACUAGAAGCACUGGCUCCUCAUCACCGAGCCAUGGCAAUCGGGUAAGUUGUCGCUCAUGUACGCUCUAGCUAGUGCUGCCUUCGCCAAAGGAUAUCUGUCUGUCGUCACCACCAUGGUCGCUGCUGCUGAUGCCUGCAACACUGCUAACUGCUAAAGACAGUGAAGCUGCCGAGGAGUUCUUUGACCUCUUGAUAGAGAAGUUGGUCUAGAAUAGCCAUGGAGGAUUGCAUUGCUCGUCCCACAAAGGCUUAAGGGGCUCGUAGAUGCUCAAGUUGACUAUGGAUGGAAAGCACUUUAUCUGGUUCAUCAACGAGGCUUUAGAACUCAGCAACAUAAGGAGGUUUGUGGUAAACACAUUUAUGAUUAAGUUAAGGAUAUACAAGCAAGAGUCUGUGGUGAGGAAUUUUACAAGUUUGUGUUAUUUGUGCUAGUGGGCUGACUGGAUCUCAGGAACUUCCUUGAAAAUUUCAAGUGUCAACGAGUGCAAGUUGCAGGG
Molecule: long non-coding RNA, 2283 nt
Organism: Selaginella moellendorffii
Lineage: Eukaryota; Viridiplantae; Streptophyta; Lycopodiopsida; Selaginellales; Selaginellaceae
Exons: 11
Source: RefSeq, a predicted model, not a curated record